GAAGCUUUUUAUUUUAGAGAGAGAUGGCAUUGCUCCUCAUAGCCAUCUUCUCUUUCACGUUGGAGGAUUGAAGUAGAAUAUAUUAACAAAUUUCAUUUGAAGGUUGUAGAUAUGCAACCUUCUUUGCACACAAAUAAUUGGUGUCGUUAGAAGUGGAUACACCGAGGGAGGAAGAGGAAAUGGCAUCGGAAGGCAAAGAGGCUUUGGCAGGAGUACUUGCGAGAGUGGGGGCUUGUCUAAUCCCUCCUCGACAACAUCGUUUCGAAUGAUCGCAUCUCUGAUCCCUAUUUCGUCCUCUAAAUGUGAUAUACUGUAAUUAACUUAUGCUUUCUACGUUAUCAAUCUUGCAAUUGCAUUAUUACAAUGUGAAAUCACUCAUUUGUAGGAUCGAUUGAUUCUCCUAUUAUGAUGUUUCAGAUGGACAAGUAUAAUGAGGAGGGUUAACUACUUGAACCUUGGAGAGCAUAGUUUAUACAUAAUCUGUAUUAAAACAAUUGAAUUAGGGUUUUGUUCUGAUGGGAUUCUUCAAGUGCUUGAACCCAUAUGCAUCGUUAUUUAUAUGAUGGUUAGGGUUUUGGUUAUAAAGCCCUUAUCAAGUUCCUUCCACAUCAAGUUUUUUAUUUGGAACUCGCAGUCCCUUUCUUGGGAAAAUGCCAUGAUACGGAUUUGGACGCUGAAAAGUACAGAGGAGAUAGAAGCAAAAUGCGAUACACUUUUGCGGCUUUCUGUUCUCUUAUUAGUUCCAUUUGAUGUCUCCUUUGUUGAUUCUAGUGUUGCACAUAGUACUGAUCUUGGUGAACUUGAGUCCGCCUGUUUUCAAUCAAGAUAUUGAAGUUCUCUUAGGAUUACGUUUCCAAUGCAGGUCCCAUGAGCACCAUGAAUGGUUUCCUGCUCUCUAGGCUUCUGACACCUUCCGAUAUGCUGAAGGCCAUUAUAAAGUAUUUCCCAUCAUUCAUAUCACUACAAACGUUUGAAAUUAUUGUUUUUGCUUCUAAUCAAACACUAUAUAUUUUCAUAUAUUUAAUACUGGUUGUAUAGCU
This 1040-nucleotide unclassified non-coding RNA is filed under the name Hevea brasiliensis (rubber tree). Lineage: Eukaryota; Viridiplantae; Streptophyta; Magnoliopsida; Malpighiales; Euphorbiaceae. The record is from RNAcentral.